GGUGUGUCUACAGGGAGGAGAUUCAUACGUACGUUGGUGGUUAUUGCCAACAAGACCAGUCUGCAUGGCAGGGUUCCUCCGAAGAGGAAGAUGCAAGACACAACAGAGAAGAUAUCCCUGGAACCAUCCAAACAGAUGAGGCAAGUGCUGAAGAAAAUGCUGCAGGGAGGACAAGAAAUGAAAGGAGAGCCUGUGCAGAUGGAACCAUUUCCCGGAGGAAGUGGUUCCGUGCCAGCAUCUGUUGAAGGAAGGGAGGCCAUGCCAGGCACAGGCACAGGAGACUGGAAUCGUGACAUGGGUUUUCAGGAAGUCCUGAUGAAGGAUGGUUUGAAGUUCCUGGAGGAUGCUGGAGGCAAGUUUUCAUUCUGCCCUUCCUGAGUGAAUAAUCAGGAUCAAUGCAACAAAAGCUCAUUUAUAAACCAUUUCCCUUAACAUUAUGUAAAGGCUGAAGGAUUCUGAGAAUCUUUCCCUUCUCCCUUCUGGAUCCCUGAGGGAUCCCUCAGGAUCGCUGUCAGUGGGAGGAAGGAGCAUUGAUCUUUCAGUCCUC
This is a long non-coding RNA of Passer domesticus (house sparrow), 547 nucleotides long. RefSeq lists it as uncharacterized. The record is from RefSeq and is a predicted model, not a curated record. NCBI's taxonomy places the organism in Eukaryota, Metazoa, Chordata, Aves, Passeriformes, Passeridae. The transcript is spliced from 4 exons.